GAGGAAUAUUGGUCAAUGGCCGAAAGGCUGAACCAGCAACGCCGCGUGAGGGAUGAAGGUCUAAGGAUUGUAAACCUCUGUUAGGAGGGACGAAUAGUUCCGUAACGAACUUACGGGAUUUGACGGUACCUCCAGAGAAAGCCCCGGCUAACUCCGUGCCAGCAGCCGCGGUAAUACGGGGGGGGCAAGCGUUGUCCGGAAUUAUUGGGUGUAAAGGGUGCGUAGGCGGAAUGGUAAGUCAGAAGUGCAAUGCUCGUGCUUAACACGGGCGCUGCUUUUGAUACUGCUGUUCUUGAGUGCAGAAAAGGGAAGUAGAAUUCUCGGUGUAGCGGUGAAAUGCGUAGAUAUCGAGAAGAAUACCAGUAGCGAAGGCGGCUUCCUGGUCUGUAACUGACGCUGAGGCACGAAAGUGUGGGUAGCAAAC
Molecule: ribosomal RNA, 424 nt
Filed under: uncultured bacterium
Lineage: Bacteria
Description: bacterial SSU rRNA
Rfam family: Bacterial small subunit ribosomal RNA
Source: RNAcentral